CCUGGCCUCCAUCGGAGUGAGUAAUGACCAUGAACGGAUCAACGCCGUAGCUCGGAAGAUAACCUGCAAAAAAUGAAUUCGUGAUGUUCUGUUAAAAACCAAAUCAUUUCUGCAAAGCCAGAUGGUCCACAUGAAAGCACAGACUCCAACCCGAAUAUGUCUUGCUAAUGUAGAGUCAAUCCCAUUUAGCCAAUUCCCAAAUAAAGCAUUAACAGUAUUCGGUGGAGUAAUAUUAAAAGCAAUGUGGACCGUCUGCCAAAGAACCUUGGCCAGCGGGCAAUCAAAAAAGAGAUGUUUAAUUGUCUCAUCUCGAUCACAGAAACUACACCUAGUAGGUCCUGUCCAAUUACGCUUUAUUAAGUUGUCCUUUGUUAGAAUAACUUGUUUAUGAACAAACCACAUAAACACUUUUAUUUUCAAAGGAACUUUGACAUCCCAGACAUUCUUGGAAGUUGGAAUGGAGCUUGAAUUAAUAACAUCAAUGUACAUUGACCUCACUGUAAAUACUCCAGACGUAGUCAACUUCUAGCGUAAUUUAUCAGGUUGGUCAGAAAGUUGAACCUCCAUUAGUCUCCUAACUAACUGGAGCCAAACCUCCCAAUGAUUGCCCGCUAACGACCGUCUAAACUGAAUAUUAAGGGGGAUAGAUUGAAAUACCGUUGCCACGAACACCUCACGUCGUUGAGCAAUACGAUAUAAAGACGGAUAUUGAAUGGCCAAGGGUGAGUCGCCCAGCGAAGAGUCCUCCCAGAAACGUGUAGUGGCACCAUUGCCAAUGACAACUUUUGUCCUAUUGAACAUUAAUUGUUUGACUUUCAUGAGCCCUUUCCAGAAAGGCGAGUCAGUCGGCCUAACUGUUACCUGGGACAACGUCCUAGUCUGGAGGUACUUGCUGCGAAUGAUUUGCGCCCACAUAGCUUCAGAACCACAAGCGAGCUUCCACAACCACUUACUAAGAAGGCAUCUGUUCUUAACUUCAAGAUUCUCAAUGCCAAGCCCGCCUUGGUCUUUGGGUCGACAGAUAAUAUCCCACUUAGCAAGCCGGUAUUUUCUUUUAAGAUCAUCACCCUGCCAGAAGAAACGUGAUCGAUAGAAGUCCAGUCUUUUCCUCACUCCCACUGGAACCUCAAAGAACGAUAAGAGGAACAUAGGCAUACUCGUGAGCACCGAGUUUAUCAAGAUUAACCGGCCUCCAUAUGACAUGAGCUUACCCUUCCAGCAGCUCAGUUUCUUCUCAAAUCGAUCCUCGAUACACUUCCACUCUCUGUUUGUUAGCCUACGAUGAUGUAUCGGAAUGCCGAGGUAGGAGAAGGGCAAAGUUCCCAACUCGCAACCAAACAAUUGCCUGUAGGACUCCUGUUCGUCUUUGGCUCUACCAAAGCAGAACAACUCACUCUUAUGAAAGUUAAUCUUUAACCCAGAUAAUUGUUCAAAGAGGCAUAACAACAACUUCAUAUUUCUCGCCUUGGCCAAAUCAUGCUCCAUGAAGAUGAUUGUAUCAUCAGCAUAUUGAAGGAUGGAUACACCUCCAUCAACCAGAUGAGGUACUAAGCCACCCACUUGACCACUGUCCUUAGCCCUUCCGAUCAAAAUUGCUAACAUAUCCACCACGAUGUUAAACAAGAUGGGGGACAUUGGAUCUCCUUGCCUAAGGCCCUUAUGAGUCUGGAAAUAAUGACAUAUAUUGUCAUUAACUUUAAUACCCACACUCCCUUUUUGCGUAAAAGAUUCGACCUGAUGGCGCCAAGCCUCAUCAAAGCCUUUCAUACGCAAUGCCUGUUGAAGGAAUGGCCACUUGACCUUAUCAUACGCCUUCUCGAAAUCCACCUUAAAAAUUACCCCAUCUAAUUUUUUAGAGUGAAUUUCAUGGGGCGUUUCAUGAAGGACAACCACCCCUUCGAGGAUGUUUCUGUCCGGCAUGAAAGCAGUUUGGGAUUGUUGCACCACAGAAAGCGCAAUCUGGGAGAGCCUGUUAGUCUCGACCUUGGUAAAGAUUUUGAAACUAACAUUGAGUAGGCAAAUUGGCCUGAACUGCUCAAUUCGCACGGCCUCCGUUUUCUUAGGGAGCAAUGUGAUAGUUCCAAAAUUCAAGUGAAAUAAUUGAAGCUGUCCAGAGAAAAGAUCGUGAAACAUAGGUAACAGAUCCCCCUUAAUAAUGUGCCAGCACUUUUUAUAAAACUCCGCCGGAAACCCGUCCGGACCGAGAGCCUUAUUGUUUUCCAUUUGUGCAAUAGCAUCAAACACUUCCUUCUCCGUAAAUGGGGCUAGCAAGAUAUCAUUUUCGGCAGCCGACAGUUGAGGAACAUCCUCAGUCCGAGACUCAUCCAAGGUUACACAAUUAACCUCUGGUGGUCCAAACAACUGCCUAUAAUACUCGGUAAUGUAAGUUUUUAGAUUAUCCUGCCCAACAAUAGUACCCUCAUCUUGCUCAAGUUGGAAGAUUCAUUUCUUACGGUGCUUGCCAUUAGCAAUGAGGUGAAAGAAUUGAGUAUUAGCGUCCCCUUGAACCACUUUGCGGACCUUAGCGUGCAACGCCCACUUCAACUCUUCCUCACGGAGAAGUUCUUUCAACCUCUUCUCAGCCUCAUGUUUAACCUGGACCUCGACAGGCAGCAAAAUCAUAGAUUCUGCUUUAAUAUCUAGGGCCUGUAUAAGAAAAAGGAGCCUAUCCUUUUCAAUCUUAUAAACCCCACUUAGGUGCUUUGCCCACCCCCGUAAGAAAUUUCUUAAAUGCCUUAUCUUAUUCUGCCAACGCUCGACCGCCGUCGUACCUCCGACCCCCUUAACCCAUUCCCUGGCAACGAGAUCUAAGAACCCUUCACGUUCGAACCAGGCCAUCUCGAAUGAGAAGGUGUUCUUGUUUCCCACAUAGUUGGACUCCCCGGAGUCCACAAACAGUGGUGUGUGAUCGGAUAUUCCCCGUGUUAAAGCUUGUACCGUCACAAGAGGGAACUUCUGUUCCCACUCCACGCUGGCGAGAACUCGAUCAAGCUUUUCAUAUGUCGGGUUUGGCAACGCAUUAGCCUAAGUAAACUUUCUACCAGAAAGCUCUAUCUCCCUCGGGUCCAAGCUCUCAAUAAUGGUAUUGAACAUAAACGACCAUCUCCCGUCAAAGUUAUCAUUAUUCUUCUCCUCUCUCCUCCGAAUGAUAUUGAAAUCACCCCCGACCAACAUUGGAAGCUGUUCGGACCCACAAAUUCGAACAAGAUCCGCCAGAAACUCUGGUUUAAGUUCAGGCUGUGCGGCUCCAUACACCGCCACCAAAGCCCAGUCGAACCCAUCAACUUUUGACCUAACCCGAAACUUAACCGCAAAGUCUCCCAUCACAACACUCCGGACCUCAAGGGAAUCGCAUCUCACUCCCAACAAGAUACCUCCCGAUCGUCCACGUGGAGGUAGGCAAUGCCAAUUGAAAUCAACACCACCCACAAGAGAGGAAAGAAACUGAGGAGCAAAAUUAUCUCUUCCAGUUUCAGAGAGAGCAAUGAAAUCUAAUCGGUGCUCCAGAGACGCCUCCGGAAGAAACCUUCUCUUAGUCAAGUCCUUGAGACCUCUGCUAUUCCAAAAGAUUCCUUUCAUAAUUCAUCAUGAAAUUUUUUUGCCGUACGAAUCCUAGCACUUCUACGUACCGCGGAUGCUGGAUACACCUUCCGCUUCCACUUACGUUUAGGUUUGUCAUUGUCCACCAUCCGGUCCUCAUAACCGGGCAGUGGUGGUUGGAGGACCUCAACCUCUAUGUUGGUCUCCUCCUCGUCUGACUCAUUACAGGAUGGUGCAAGGUCCGCACACAAAGUGUCUAGUACUCUCACCCCCAAUGCAUCAAUCUCAGCGUCAUUCAUCGGUCUCACUGCCGCUAGGUUGCGAAUGGUUUCUAAAGCGCGUUCCGCUUCCAGAUCCAAAAGAUCAUUAACCGAGUUGGAUAUUUCAGAAUUAUUAUUCCCCAGCGAAACCCCUACUUGAUUUGCAUUAUGAAUAAUCUCAUCCGUAGAAAAAUGCAUAAUGGAAUUGGAUAAGUUGACUGACAUACCGGUAGUGACCUCAAUGUCACGAAGCUUGGCCGCCCUCGUAGCACACCUCUGCUGCAUGUCAUCAACCUCCGGAUGGUCCUGGAGAUGGGAACUCAUCCGUCGCCCCUCAGAGACCGGGUCAGGGAUUCCGCCGAAAGCAAUAACCUCCUCCCGAGAAGCACCAGUCGCAGGAGGAAGUGACGGACGGCUCCCACAUCCGGCAGUCAGGGGGUCGGGGCAGUAGGUGCCGGUACCACCUGUCCGAACACCCCCUCCGCCCCGACCCUCAAGGCUGAGGGUGUCAUCAUCCCGACAGCCGAGGAUGAGGGAUGGACCGGGGCCACCUUCCCCGGACACCCUCCAAUCACGACAGUAGAAGCCGCCUACGUCGGAGCCGAAAGGGAAGGGUGUGGGGCCUCCUGCCCCAUACGGCCUCCCUGAAAGCCGGCUAGAGCCGGCGCAGUAGGCAUCGCCAGGGCCACCUGCCCCAGACAAACACCCAUCCGCCCAGCAGAAGAAGCCGCAGCCGGCCGCCCUCCCGAAGAGGACUCCUCCCUCUCAGGAGCCCUGAUCAUAGCCAGCAGAGAGUGUGGGGUCGAGGCCUCCUGCCUGAGACCCCCCGCCAAGCUCGUAGUCACCACCUGCAGCUCAGACGUGACAAGAGUAUCCGAGGGAGGCGAGAACGCUAUCUCCGAACCUCCCUCCACUCCACGAACCUCCACGAUCGGGCCCUCAAAGUCCAACGCAGGUAAGGAGUGCUCGAACACCUCAGAAGAUUCCACCCGCUCACUAUAUAAUCUCGGAGGUGCAGAAGCAGGCUCAAAGGUUCCAAACCUCAGAGUGGUCGACGGCACCGAAGAUGGAGGCGCCGUCUCCCCUCCGGUGGUCUUGACCACAGACCCCGGUCUUUCGUCCUCUCGACCGGGAUCAGCUACCGGAGGCUCCUUGCGCCCCAUGUCAUCAUCACCCUCGUGCAUAUCAACAUCCACGGUAGCAGGUGCCUCGGCAAACAGGCUGUCAUCCUCAAACUCAAUCUUAAGGUUAUACACCUGGCCGCGAUAAGCCCACUUCACCACGUCCGGAACAAACUCAAUGUCCAAAAUACUGACGAGGAUGUGAGCCACCCCCUGAGCUCUGGUGAAAGCCAUGUCCACUCGUUUGGGCUUUCCCACCAAAACAGCCAUACUAGCAACAACCCUGGCAUCCUGCAUGGGCCUGUGUGGAGCCCCCGAAAAACGCAACCAGGCCUGGGUAAGUGGCUUACCCCGAGGCUCACUCAAUUUCCACUCAUGGAACUCAAGAAUGCCUUCAGUACCUGGCACCUUACACAUCCCAAAACUCAAUAACCUCUGUAGAUCCUCCACCGUUGGAAACUCCACCCUGAACGAGUUUGGCUCAAGCUUGACUAACUCCCAUAGAAAGUCACCCGGUGCCAGCUCCCGGAGCCGCUGCACAAUCUGGAUCUCAGAGACUUCACCUUUAGUCACUUUAACAAUCCCAGACGUCAUACUGCGCACCUCGUCAGAUACUUCCCUCUCAAUCGGAGAAUCGAAAAACGUGAGCUCAGAACAGAACACACCAUACAUCAUAAGAUUGGGUAGCUGCUCUCUCAUUAGCGGACAAGCCCCUGACUCAUGAUCCUGCUUACCACACGUAUCGCAUAAGACUGCCACACACUCAGCAAUGAAGUGGCCUUUAUUGCCACAGCGAUAGCAUAACAUUCUUUCUUUCUUGCGCACAUACUUAGCCGCCCUGUCCAGCUCAGCCUUGUCAGAGCCCUCCACCGACAUCACCUCAACCUCACCAUUAUUCGUAGGAACCACCUCUGCCAAAGCCGUAACCACCUCCAUAGCCUGACAAGACAACGCAGUCUCGUCAGUAUCCACACCAACCGGCGUCUGAUCAACGACAACAGGAUGCUGCCUUGGGCGGUAGCGACCACCGCGUCCACCCCGUCCACCACGGUUACCAAGAAAACCACCACGGUUCCUAUUAGCUGGUCCUGACGCCCCUUCGACAAAACCUCCCGUAGGCCCCAGGAAAGGUCUCUCGGUCGAGCCAUCACUCUGCCAAGCAUACCCCCGCCCACCACCUGUGGACGAGGAUCCCCGGUGCUGUCCGUCACCAUACGCGUUAAGUCCAUCGUCACCCCAUUGACCAUGAGGCACCGACGAGUCACCCCCCCUCACCGGAGCCAUCUGUAACUGCGCCUGCUCCAACACCGGUGCCGACGGAUUCUGCGACUGCCGAGCCACAAAAUGCGGCGGUCGGGCCCCGGUCUGCAUCGCCGUGGGACCCAGCUGUCCACCCAAGGCCGGAGCAGGCGGCCGAGGAGUCGGGGUGCCACGACCCGCGGCUGCCGCGGGGAGAGGCACCGGUGGCCUAGGGCCGCCCCGACCGGCGGCAGGGGGCGGGGGUCUACCCGCCGGCAGAGUCCCGCGGCCCACCACACCGGACCUGGGCAGGCCGCCAUGCUGCGUUGGUCGGGCGCCAAUCGCCCCCUGAGCCACCUGGUUUGAAGCCGGAGGAGCGUCCGCGCGCCCAGCCCCUAGCGGCGGCCCAGUGCAACCCCGACCAGCGGCCAGCGUGGCCGCAUCUCCGCCCCGGCCGCCUCCCGUAUAGACCCCUAUAGCGUGCUCUUGCUAUGGCUUAGUUUUGCUAGACCCCUAUAGUGUGCUCUUGCUAUGGCUUAGUUUUACCAGACCCCUAUAGCGUGCCUGGAAACUUUAUAGAGUGAAGCCGACUUGUUGUGUUUGUUGCUAUCUCUGUGUCCAGAAGCACGAGACUUGUUAUUAUACUACUCCGUAGUUCACUUCACCCUUUUUGAACUUUAACCACGAAUACGUGCUAAAAAAGAAAUGUUCACUUCACCCCCGGAGCCCGACUAGCUGCUCCGUUGCACCCCGUGUGUGCGUGUUUUUUUUUCUAUUUUUAGGGCUUGUUGAGCUGUGCCUCAGCAUUAACCCUCUUGGCUACCGUUUGUACUAGACCUGUGUGUUUGUGUGCGUGUGUGAACAUGUGUUGAAUGUUGGCUUGGGCAGUUGCUUUAUAAUAUAAAGCGGGGCGAAAGCCUUUUUUGGUAAAAAAGAAAUGUAUGGACUAGGCAUGUUUUCUUUGGAUUUUUUUCUUAGGCAUAGUACAAGUGAAAAAUAGUGGACUGUAAUAAAUGGAACCAAAGGAGGUCCGAUCCUUAAUUUCAGCCGAUUUGGCGCAGUCCGCACAUUUUGCAACUGCACGUACCAACCUCAACCUGCCACUGAUGUGUGCGUGUGUGUGCGUGUGAGCCAGCCAGUCUCUGACUGAAACUGAAAGUAACCACCACCACCGCCACCACGCACGCAGCUGGAGCUGUUUCAUUUGAAGAAACGGAGGAGGCUGGUUGAUAUGCACGCUAGCACUGCUGGCCGGUGAGUGAAGCUAGCACUGGAACAGCCAGCCAGAGCCAGAUCCUUCCGGGGACUAGACUGGUAACCUGCUCCCCGCGCCAAGCCGGAGCGGAAUGAUGACGCUCACGCACGCAUGCCCACCCUGACCCUGUCCUACAGAGCGAGUUGGUACAUCAUCGCGCGUGCAUCCCCGGCCUUUGACUUCAUCGCAUCAUCAGUCGCAAUCCAUCGGUUGGCUGACUUGGGUUGGGAGGGAGAUCUGCUACCAGCGCCACAACUGUCUUUGUAGCCAAAACGUAGCCAAAUCCAAAUCUGCUAUAGUUAUAUGCGAACCCUACCCCGGUAUACAUAUACAAUCCCCACCAGCAACACACAGGGGCCUGCAUUAAUCAGUAUAAUGAUGAUUAACAAUGCUUACUCUUGCGUAUAACAAAAGUAGUAUGGUUCAUUUGGAAGCAAAGCCUCUACUUUGAUCACCGCCUUUUUCUACUUACUUUGUCAUCUUCAUUUCACACGUGAAGAGAAGAGUAUGUACUCCCUCCGUCCGGAAAUACUUGUCGCGGAAAUGCAUAAAAAUGAAUGUAUCUAAAACUAAAAUACGUCUAAGUACAUCCAUUCUUUUGACGAGUAUUUCCGGAUGGAGGGAGUAUAUGUAAGGGCGAACCAAGCUGUGGUUGGAUGGUUAGAGGGACAAUGGUAUCCUAGCCUACCGGAAUUAAUUCAAGUCCUGAUGCUCGCAUUAUUUUUGAAUUUAUUUCAGGAUUUUCGGCGAUGGUUUUCAGUAGGAGGAGGCGUUUCUGUAGACGACGAGGCGCCUCAAAAUGAUAUGUCGGCUCGGUCUCUCGAAGGUGCUCAUAGGGAUAGGCUGUGCAUGUGGGCGUUCAUAUGGGUGAGUGUAUGCACGUAUGUAUGAGCAUUUGCGUCUGUACUAUAUUAAAAUAGAAGUAUACGUAGAGUGCCAUCCUAGUGUAAUGUAUUGCACGUCGUAAAAUAUGUGUUUUUUAAGUACGAUAAAACUAGACUCCCUAUUUGUUGAAACUUCAUAAAUAUGUGCGAACCAACCUGUGCUUGGAUGGUUAGAGGGACUGUGGUAUUCCCAGCCCACCAGGGUUCGAAUCCUGGUGCUCGCUUUUAUUUCUGAAUUUAUUUCAGGAUUUCCGGCGAUGCGCAUUCAGUGGGAGGAGACGUUCCCGUCGACAACGAGGCGCCUACGGUGACUUCGUAAAUCUCAAGAUGAUAUGCCGGCUCAGUCUUUCAUAGGUGCUCAUAGGGGUAAGGUGUGCGUGUGUGUGUUCAUAGGGUGAGUAUAUGCGCGUGUAUAUGAGCGCUUGUGUUUGUACUGAUGUUUAAAAAAAAACUUCAUAAAUAUGCACCUAUUGAAAUUCGAUCAUCUUCAAGGGUCUAAUGUGUCAAACUAAAUGCAGAAUAUGGUUCGACAAUAGUCGAAUUGCUAACAUGCAUUGCAAACGGCCUGCCAUCAUGUGACAAAUAGAUGGUCAAACUGACAUUCCUUUUAUAGGAGUACUAACAUACUAACAUAUAGAGAACAUGUGUGUCCUUGGAAUUAUAUACUAGUAUGGAAAUUGUGUUUGGCUCCCGGGCCCCAUGGAGACUGGGUUUUGAGAAAUACAAAAAAUCUAUUUUUUAGGUUUAAAAAAAUUCUGGAACAAAAUGUACACAUACCUAGAGAUGUAUACUACUUGUCAUUAAAGUUUCAUGGUGAAAUUCGUUUUUGUGCGAGCUACACAAAAAUAACAAAAUCAUAUAUUUCUAGCACAUGUGCUAUUCACUACGUAUAAGACAACAACAAAUUUUUUGUGCAUACAUCUCACAUCAAAACGCAUUUCAUACUUGUAUACAUCUCUAUGUUGACUUUUGAAUUUUUGAAAAUUUGGGCUUCCUCGAAGCCCGAGAACCAAAAAUCGUCUCUCUGCUGCUUGUCACUAGUCACUUUUAGUGUGCAUGUGUGUCUGCCUGCCGUGAAGCAAGAAAGUUAAAAGGCAAUAUGGAUAUACCCAGGGUGUUCGAAAGUAUAAUCAUGAACCCCGGAUACACGAAUUGUGAUGAUUCUACGAUAAGAGCGAAAACAAGCGUGGGUUGAAUGAUGAUUAUACGUAUAGGCGAGACCUUUCAUGAACUAGCUAGGAACCCGCCGUUCGCCACUCCGGCCCACGGCGGCCACUCUCCUGUCGCCGGCCACUCCGGCCUGCGGCGGCCACCUUCCCGUCGUUGGCCACUCCGGCCUGCGGCGGCCACCGUCCUGCCACCACCAUCGCCGACGUCCGACGCCUCCGACGUUUCUCCGUCGCCUUCGCCGUUGAGCUGUCCUUGGUGGGCUCGUUGCUCGCCGCGCCGGAGCGCAGGGGUUAGGUUGGCAGGUUGCCAGCUCUGCGCCCCUGCGUCAUCUGGGGGUGGCCUCUCUCAGCUAAGUGCUCGCUCCCCCCCCCCUUUUUUUUUAUGCAUGCUGCUGCACUUCUUCCCUUGAUCAUGCUAGGGUUUGGUCGUCCUGGUUGUGUUGGUCCUGCUUGUGCCGGGCUUGCGAGGUGCUAUGGAGCCCGCUUCGAAGAUGCCAUGUGGGCCAGAUAUGGCUGCGGCUCUGUCUGCGCCCUGUCGAAAUCGUUCUCCCCGGUGCGCCUUGCGGCGUUCGUCGUCAGCGACGGCGUGCUUCUCUCGCCGGAGUUCUUCGCUCAGAUUCUGCAUGGCUGGUUCGGUGGCUCGGCUGCUGGGUUCCGGGGCGUUGCGCUGGGCCCAACCUCUUUUGAAUUUGAAGUAGCCUGUCGCGAGGUUGCCGCUGAGAUUGUGCUUCAUGGGCUUUGGCAUGCUGGGCCUCUCUGCGUGGAGUUUGGUUUCCCAAGUAGGCUCGGGGCCAGGAAUCCGGGUCUCUGGUCAAAGCCUGCCGCUCUGGCCCCUGAGGACCCAGUCUGCGCACGCCCUGCUGCAUGCACGCCCGUUGAGAUCGGCUGCAUGACCUCUCCUCGUCCCGCGUUUUCGGGCGUGCCGGUUUCCCCGCGAUCUGUUCCUGCCCUUGCGGAUUACGCUCCUUCUCAUAUCUCUCCUGCCCUAUCCGGGCCUGGCUCGGGACCGAUCUCGUGCGGGAUUUAUGGCGCUGACAGUGCAAGGGGCGGACAGCAAUGCAACUCUUUGCAUGGUGUCGUGGCAUCAUCGCUGAGAAACCAUCAUGCGCAUGUGCAGGCGGAGCAAAACGGAGUGCCUGGCCAGCUUGGCCUUUCUGCUCCCAGCGCCGCCUCGGAAUCGCUUCGCGAUGUCACCGCCCCCUUGGCCCUAUCGUGCUGCCCAUACAAGGAGGCGCUCCUGUCCAGUCCGUGCGCUGCCUCCUCCUCUCCCUCCCGCUCCCCUGCCACCCACGCUUCGAGGCAUCAUCAUUAUCCUCCUAUCCCUCUAGACCUGCACCGGCGCUGCUUUAGAUGCCUCUCCUAUCGGCAUCGGAGAGUUGACUGCCGUGACCCGCUGGUGUGUUGGCGCUGCAGGCGCACCGGCCACACCCGCCACUCCUGCUCUGUGCGCUCCCCUCACCUCGUCUAUAAGACCAAGCUUUCAUCUUCCUCCUCCACCCACCAAGUUUCUUCACCUCCCCCGCCUCCGCCUUCUGCUUCCUCCUCUUCUCCCAGCCUGUGCACUGCCAUCGUCCCUUUUGCUCCCCCUCCGCCGCCUGUCGUUCCAUCCUCAGCCAUGGAGCCUGUUGUCCGUGGUCGCCCCACCUACGUGGACGUGCACUACCCCUUUGUUCACGACCGCAACUCCCUCGUCUGCAUCGUAAAGAUCGCGCCCUCCAUGCCCAACUUCCUUUCCUGGCUACGCCGCCUCUUUCACCAGCAUCUCGGCAUCAGUGUUGUGCGCUUUGCUAGCUCUUCCACCGCCACUGCUUUCGUUGUUUUUCAGCAUGAGUGCGACCAGAUGAAGGCUCUCCGUGCUAGCCCUCUCGACGCGGGCUCGCACAGGGUCGAAAUCAUGCCGCACCACGCUGGCAAUAACGCCUUCUCUUUUGCCUACCACCACAUCGUCUGCCUCUCCCUGGAAAAGAUGCCCUUGGAGCUUUGGAACCGGCGAGGUGUUGCCUCCAGUGUGUCGGGUUUUGCUGGGCUGAUCAAUGUCGAGCAUGCCAGCAUUCAUGGCCAUGACUUCGCUGGUAUCUUCGUGCUCGCUAAGGUGGAAGCGCUUAGCCACAUUCCCCACCAUAUCGCCUUCCACAAGAUCAAUGGCAGCGGCGCUUACGCUGACGUCUACAUCAACGAGGUUUGGGAUGUGGCGCGCUCCCUUGGCAACCCCGCUGCUCCGCCAAGCGAUGGCCAGCCCCCAAGCGGCGGGCGUGCCCGCUCGCCCCCGCGCGGCCGUCCCGGGGCGUCGUCCGCAGGCGGGCGCGUCUACCGGAGAGCCUCGCGUGGCUUGCCUGCGGCGGCGGAGAGGGCCUUCCGUGCCUACAACCACCCGAUGACGGCGUCCUUCGGCGACUUCCUGGCGUUGCUCAAGCUCUCUGGCAAGCCCGCGCUCAAGCGUCCGUCCUCGGUGGGCACGCUUGACGCGUCCGACUUCGAUGCGGAUUCGGAGAAGGAUGGCCAUGUGAAGAGACAGCUGAUCGCAGCCCCGAUUGCUGGGCCACACGCGGUCACUUUCUUUGAUGUGGACAAAACAGCUUUCUUCUUCCGCCUGGAGCUGAGCCCAGCCAGGGUCGUGGAAGGUGCUGUCACGGUGGGGCCAGCCAGGCUCGAUGAUGGCUACUUCCCCGUGUUCGAUAUCACCACGGGCAUGCAAUCUAGGGAGAGCUGCAACUCCCUCCUUUUCAGGUUCUGGCCAAAACUUUUCAAUUCAGAUUCUUCUCCUUCGUCUCCCGAGCUCACUUGCGGCCGUUCCCUCCCGCUGCUCCCCUCUGUGGACUGUCGCUUUCCCUCCAAAGCAAAUGUGCCUGCUAGCCUAUUUGGGCAUGUGGGACCCUCGAUUUCCCUCGCCUCAUCCAAUAACGGCAACGCCAUCACGCCCCUCCCCCCACCAUCUCCACCGCCCUCUACAGCCUUCUUGCAGCUCCAAUACCAACUCUGGCUCACCUCGCCUCCCAUCUGCCUGCUCCCUCCACCACCAUACACCCUGGCUACUCCACCCACGCAUACGGAAUCCGCAGCCUCCCCUUUUGCUGGCACCCCCCUGUUCCAUGCCUACUGCUACUCCCUUCCUGCUUCCAUUGCUCGCUAUACCUGCGGGUGUCGCGCCCCGCCGGAGGAACCCAAGGCCGCUCAGGUUAAGAGCUUCCCGGCGCUGCUACCUCUGUUUCCGGCGCCGCGGGUCGAGGCUCCGGUCGAGAAUUCUGCUGAGCACCCGAUCCGUCUGGACUCGCCGGAGGAGCCGGCGGGUGAGGACGGCCAUGGAGGGAGCCAAGACCUUGUCGUGCAGCUAGGGGCGGCAGGAACGGCUAGCCUGGCUGUCCCUGCUGGCUCCCAGGGGCAUGAGGUGGAACUCCCUGCCGCUACCGCUGCGAGGGUAGCCCAGGCGCCAGUGCUUCCGCGGCGCAGCCCUAGGCUCCUCGGGCUGCUGGAUGGGCCUAGGGUUGACUGCAUCGAGCGCGCCACCAAGCGAAAAGCACGGAUGACCAUCUCCUCCUCCUCUGGAUCGUCCUCCGGCCGCUCCUCAGGCCACUCCGCCUCUUCCAAGCGCGCCAAGAAGCUGUGCAAAGUCUCCUCCUUGAUCCAGCUCCCUCUCAAAGGCACGCCUAGACCGCUAGGGAGGAACAAGCUCAAGGCGUUCGCGGAAUGCUGCGACCUCGAUGCGGAAGGCAUAAGUAGGGAGGCCGAGGCCCUCUCUUCUGCCUCGACGGCUGAUUCUCCUGUGCGCUCGCUCGAUCUCAAUGAGUAGGACCUGCACAACCUCGUCUGCAUUAGGUGGCCUUCAGCCACGUUAUCAGGAGCUGUUGCAUUGUGUUAGUUGCUUCCGGCAUGUCGGGAGUCACUGUGUCUUUCUUUUUUUGCUGUUCUCUUCGAGUGCUUCUGGCCCUUAUGGCCGGGUGUGUGGUCGUGUCGUCUGGUGUGGUGUUAGUUUGUGUUUCGUUUCGGUCUGUAAGCUCCUAUCGUUACUUGAUGCAUGGCAUGUUUCUUUCUGCUAUCUCUUGCACUCCGUGACCUUCGGGUCCUCUUGGCGGCCGCUCUGCUCUUAUGAUUAUCACUAACUGGAAUGUUCGUGGCUUGGGUGAUCGUAGCAAGCACUGCCUUGUCAAGGACACAAUUGCCUCCUGCAAGCCAAAUAUUGUUUGUUUGCAAGAAACCAAGCUCAGCGCUGUUGAUACUUUUCUGCUCAAGAGGUUAUUUCCAGCAUCGUUUUGCAACUUCCGCUCACAGUCAGCACAGGGCUCUUGUGGUGGGAUUCUUGUUGCCUGGGAUUCAACGGUCAAUGGAAAUGUUAUGGCGCAGGAUGAUUUCUCUAUGACAAUAGCUUUCUCGUCAACAAAUGAUGACAGCAGUUUCUGUCUGACAGCGGUCUAUGCUCCCUGCGAGGCAAAUCAGCGGCCGAGUUUCUUCAGCUCACUUGACUACGUAUCCACUUUGAUUGCUGGUGCUUGGAUGCUAGUUGGGGAUUUCAACAUGUACCGAUAUGCUUUCGAGAAGAAUAAUGACCGUGUCAGCUGGUCCUUAAUGGAAGUUUUCAAUGACUGGAUUAAUAGUCAUGGGCUGAUGGAUGUCAACAUUGUUAACAGGCUGUUCACUUGGUCAAAUAAGCGCAGGGAUCCAACGCUAGUCAAGCUUGAUCGAGUUCUCAUCAAUACGGAUUGGAGUCUGGCCUUCCUGGACACUACAGCUGCUUCCGUUUCGUCGGUCACCUCGGAUCAUGUGCCUAUUUGUAUUGACUUUGGCGCCACCCUUCCCACUGCCAAAUUCUUCCGAUUUGAGAACCAUUGGCUGCAUAUUCCGGAGCUCAAACAUCUUGUGUUGGCCUCUUGGCAUGCUGGCCAUCGUCAGAUUGAUUCUGCUGCGUCUAGGCUAAGCUUCAAGUUCAGGCGGCUUCGGGCAAGCAUCAGGCAGUGAGCUAAAAACAAAGGAAAUCUACAGCUCCUGAUUGAUAACAAGAAGUUGCUGAUCGAUUUUUUGAAUGCUGUUGAGGAACGGCGCAGGCUCACGGAUUUAGAGUUUGUACUCCGCUUGCAUGCAAAUACAAAACUUGAGAAGCUGCUAAAGUGGCGAGCGGAUUUUUGGCAGAGGCGGGCCAAGCUUAACUGGUGUAAGUUUGGAGACGAGAACUCGCAUUUUUUUCACCUUGCUGCUAAUUGGCAUGCCAGAAACAACCGCGUAAAGGUUCUGGUGCACAAUGGAGUUGAGCACUUCAGCAUUUCUGAGAAGCUGAAGAUUGCCACGGCAUUUUUCCAGGAUAUCUUCAGCUCUCGGCCGCAUGAUCCGCUCGCGGUUGACCUAACCACAGUUUACUCCCAAGUGGAUCUUCUUGAUCUCUCUGCCCUAGAGCAACCAUUCAGUUGGGACGAGAUCAUCCGCGCCAUCAAUCUAUCACCGAAUAACAGAAGCCCCGGGCCGGAUGGCUUCACUAAUGAGUUCUACAAACAGUUCGCCUCUACUCUCAAGGAUGACAUUAUUACGUUCUUUGAUGAUUUCUUCCAUGGACGAGCUGAUCUAUCUGGCAUCAACUGGGCUCAUAUUGCUUUACUCCCCAAGACGGAGUUACCCUUGGAAAUCACCAACUUGAGACCCAUUGCCUUAGUCCACAGUAUCAUCAAGUUGCUCACUAAAGUUCUUGCUCUGAGAUUGCAACACUUCAUUUCCCAGUUGAUUCACUGCAUGCAAUCUGGCUUCAUCAGGGGGAGAGCCAUCGUUGAAAACUUUGCGCUAGCUUCUGAGUUGGUACAAUGUGCGCAAAAGAGGAAGAUACCCAUGAUGAUACUCAAGUUGGAUUUCAAAAAGGCUUUUGAUAGUGUCAACUGGAACUGUCUCACGAACCUGAUGCAACACAGAGGUUUUGGCACUCGUUGGAUUUCUUGGGUCUCCUCCAUUCUCAAUUCUGGCAAGGCUAAGGUUAUGAUGAAUGGCUGCCUCGGAGAUGAUAUUUUCUUCAAUUGUGGAGUUCGCCAGGGUGACCCUCUCUCUCCGUAUCUCUUCAUUUUGGUUGCUGACAUCCUACAACGUAUGUGUGUUGCUGCCGCAAACGAGGGAAUUCUGGAGUGCCCUAUAGACGGACUGAGUUUUUUUCCUGUGCUGCAAUACGCGGACGACACGCUUAUUCUGCUCAAGGGCAUGGCUUCGCAAGCUACACACAUUAAGCACAUCCUACAGGCGUUCUCAAGCUUUACUGGAUUGCAGAUUAAUUAUCACAAGAGCACCUUCGUGCCUAUACAUAUGUGUGCAGAGGAGGCACUGGCAGCAGCUUCUGUUUUGGGAUGCCCGGUCAGCUCCUUGCCAUGCAACUAUCUUGGCUUACCGCUCUCUUUGAAGAAAGUCUCGAACUCAGUUUUGAUGCCGGUUAUCCAGAAGAUUGACAGGCGCUUGGCAGGCUGGCUGGCCACAUAUCUCUCCUGGGGAGGGCGACUCACCAUGAUCGAUGCUGUCCUCUCUUCCAUUCCAAAUUACUAUAUGGCCUGUAUAAAGUGGAACAAGAACAGCAUAGCAAAAAUAGACAAGCUCAGAAGAAAUUUCCUCUGGCAGAAGAAGGCGGAUAGGCAGCGUGCCGACUGCUUGGUUGCUUGGGAUCAAGUAAUUUCCAGCAAGCAAAGCGGUGGUUUGGGGAUCAGGGACUUAGAGGCUCACAAUGAUGCGAUGCUCUGCAAGUUCACCAGCAGGAUACUCCAAAGUUCAUCAGUCCCAUGCUACCAAUGGUUCCAGCAGAGAUAUUUGCGCAAAAGCUUGCCUGACAAACCUAAGGCCACUGACACACACCUAUGGAGAGCUCUAGCUAGAUACAUUUCGAUGGUGCAGCAUUCUUCUACCUGCAGAGUUGGUGAUGGGAAGCUCACGGCUUUCUGGCAGGAUAAAUGGUGUUGUGCAGGCCGACUCCACUAGCUCUUCCCCACGCUCUUCUCUUUUGCCAAGGAUAAACAAUGCUCGGUGGCCUCGCAAUACCUUGAUCAAUGGCAGCUGCAGCUUCACCCCAACCUCUCCCGAACUGCUGCGUUGGAACUUCAGACCUUGUGUGAGCUGCUUGCCUCCAUACCCACACCCUCUGCAGGACACUACGACUCUCGUAUGCAUAUCUAUACUGGUAAACCUGCACUGGCUAGCAACUACUAUGCAUUGCUUACAUUCCGAGGAGUCCAUUGGGCACCAGCAGAAACCAUCUGGAAUAAAGCUAUCCCAAUUCGAUGGAAAGUUUUCCUAUGGCUAGCUCACAGAGGGCGCCUGAACACCAGAACGACAAUGCUGCGUAAGCAAUGGAACAACAUUCAGCAUCCAUUCUGUGACCUAUGCCCGGCAGAGGAAACCGUUGAUCACAUCAUUUUGCGAUGUGCGCCGGCUCACUACUUAUGGCAGAAGCUUGGACUGCUCCAGCAGGCCUGUUCCGCUACUUCCCUCCAGGAUUUUGUGCUCACAAUGACGGAAGCUACCAGCCAUCGGGCGGUUUUGAUUGCUGCAUGUGCUGCGCAGCUGUGGCUGGUGCGCAACGUUCGUGUUUUCGACAAUAAAACCACACCAACAGAAGUUCUUGGGGCAGCUAUAGCUGAGAUGCUACGCCUUUGGUGCGCCCGCUCGAACGAUUCCUCCUUGAGGGCCUUCCUCCAAUGCAAAGCAGAGCUUCUUUCAAACGCUGCAUAAGCUACCUCCGAUGUAUCUCCUCCCUUCUCCCUCCCAAUGUAGCUAGCUAGUUGGCUUGGCUCCUUUGUAUCAUGACAACUCUCAGACCUUGGUCUGGUUUUGGAAUAUAUAAGGUAGACCGUGGUCUGCCUUCUUAUCCAAAAAAAUGAUUAUACGUAUCCCAGUAUGUGUUGAAUGAUGGCUCCGCAGGGACGCACCAUGCAUGCAAAGUUGGCAACACGGUCCAACGGUAUAUAUACUUCCUCCGUCCGGAAAUAUUUAUCGGAGAAAUGUCUAAAAAUAAAUGUAUCUAGAACUAAAAUACAUCUAGAUACAUCCAUUUUUCCGACCGGUAUUUUCGGACGGAGGGAGUAAUUUGUAAGCUUGAUCACACAUAUGAUAUGUGGUAUAUAUCGUCACUCACGUGUUGCUCGAGGCCUGAACAUGGUUGAGCGGGGGUUAAAGUGAGACAUGUGAUGAAAUGACAGAUCAGCAUAUUGCAAUUAUCGAAGCUGCAUUCACGAAAGUUUAAUCUUCCAUGGAGCCCCAGACAAGGCAUGAACACUGGCAGAGUACUGGUAGCACUUUGUAGUACUCUUUAGGCCUUGGCUUGGGGCCAAGUUUGGAGCUCUUCCAUUGGAGUUGCUUGAUGGAAGAAUUAUUGAGGAAGCAGUUGAAAACAGGUGCCCAUCUAACGGGAUUGCCUAACCACCCUGCCGCCAGCUCCAUCUCACCAUCCGUCCUCCCCUCUCCUCUGCUCUGCUCUCGAAACCACCCUUCUCCUUCCCCGGCCACUCCCUACACGCGCCCCCAUCCCAUCCCCCUGCUAUAUAAACCCGCCAUGGUCACCUCAUCUAUCCACCCACAACAAUAGACACGGGAAGCAGCUCUCCGGUCUUCGCUCACUAGCAACCGUAGUGCAGCAAAGCAAAGUAGUUUCCUCACAUCCAUCCAUCAAUGGCGACCUCCAUGGUCUGCCUGGUAGCGCUCUGCCUCGUGUCUCCGCUGCUCCUCGCCGGCGCCGUCCACGGCAACCCGGGCUACGGCGGCCUGUUCCCGCAGUUCUACGACCACUCGUGCCCCAAGGCAAAGGAGAUCGUGCACUCCAUGGUGGCGCAGGCCGUGGCCAGGGAGACCAGGAUGGCCGCCUCCCUCGUCAGGCUGCAUUUCCAUGACUGCUUCGUCAAGGUACCUCCAUACUCUGCUCCCUCUCUGCGGUACCACUGUUGUUUGCAACUUUGCAUGCAUGCUCUCACAAAGCUAGCUGCGAGGAUAUACUUGGUGAACAUACUCCAUGCAAAUGCGCUACAGCAAAUUAUGUUGCCUCGGAUUAUUUACUCUACGUUCACCACGAUAAUUAAGAUGUGCAUUUUAUGUGUUACUAGCACUCUUGCCUCUUUGAACACAUAACUCAACGUGCAAAAUGUUCUAUUUGAGCUCUAAAGCUUUUGCUAUAAUUGCACCUUGGUAUCAGGAAAAAGCAUCACUACAUAUGAACUCUAGGAGCAUGGAGGAAUCUCUAGUUUUCUAGGCUAACUGUUUAACCAGUGAUGUGAUGAGAUAGCCUACCUACAUUGCCCAUGUGAGCGCUGCUUUUGUGUUUGUCUGGGUGGCAUGAUCCAGUCAGUACCGUGAUUGAUUAACCCGAAUAACGCUGAUAUCCAUGCAACGUAUAGCACGUUAACUCGACGCAUGUGCCUCUGCCCUAUGUGCUAGUGUUUAGCUAUUUUUUCAUGUGUGCGCCUAAUUAACCACGCCACGUACGUAAUCUAAACAAACUUUUCUGGUAUCUUGGUGUGAUUGCAGGGGUGCGACGCGUCCGUGCUGCUUGACAACAGCACCAACAUCAUCAGCGAGAAGGGGUCCAACCCCAACAAGAACUCCCUCAGGGGCUUCGAGGUCGUCGACCAGAUUAAGGCCGCCCUCGAGGCCGCCUGCCCCGGCACUGUCUCCUGUGCCGACAUCCUCGCCCUCGCCGCCCGUGACUCCACUAUCCUCGUAUGUCACCGUUAAACACCACCAACAACACUUCUAUUCCUGGUUCUUAGAGGGUGUUUGUUUCCCGGGACUUAUUGGUCUAGAGACUUAAAAAAGUCCCUAUAAGUCUCAUCUAAACCAAACAGGAGGGACUUAUACGGACUUAAAGUGGGCAUUUGGGACUUAUGAAAUAAGACUCUCAAGGAGAGACUUAUAGGGACUUAUAGUUGUAAUAUGGUCUUAUAGAAACUUAUAAGUCCCAGGAACCAAACAGGUAGAAACUUUUUAAGGACUUGGAACUUAUUAGUUGAGACUAAAAAAAGUCGUAGAACUUAUGAACCAAACAGGGCCUUAAUUUGACACGGAAAUGAACCUGCAUGCAUGCAGGUUGGCGGGCCUUUCUGGGACGUGCCGCUCGGGCGGAGGGACUCUCUUGGCGCCAGCAUCCAGGGCUCCAACCAAGGCAUCCCGGCGCCCAACAACACCCUCCCCACCAUCAUCACCAAGUUCAAGCGCCUCGGCCUCAACGUCGUGGACGUCGUCGCGCUCUCAGGUGGCCACACCAUCGGCCUCUCCCGGUGCACCAGCUUCCGGCAGAGGCUGUACAACCAGUCGGGCAACGGCCUCGCCGACGGCACGCUGGACGUGUCCUUCGCCGCGCAGCUGAGGCAGGGCUGCCCCCGCUCCGGCGGCGACGACAACCUCUUCCCGCUCGACGCCGUCAGCUCCACCAAGUUCGACAACUUCUACUUCAAGAACAUCCUCGCCGGCAGGGGACUCCUGAGCUCCGACGAGGUGCUGCUCACCAAGAGCGCCGAGACGGCGGCGCUGGUGAAGGCGUACGCCAACGACGUGCACCUCUUCUUCCAGCACUUUGCGCAGUCCAUGGUGAACAUGGGCAACAUCACGCCGCUCACCGGGUCGCAGGGCGAGAUCAGGAAGAACUGCAGGAGACUCAACAACUUCCACUAAUUAAGUGGCUGGAAAUUAAAUGCUUAGCUGCUUGCUUUGUGUGUGCCUUGAUUCUCUCUCUCUCUCUCUCUCUCUCUCUCUCUCUUUGUAAUAAGCAAGUGUCGUUGUGUGCUUUGGAAUUCCAGAUUGUGCUUUGUGAUCGCGCUCCAACUUCAUAAUUGAUCAUGUAUACAUCUUGUCUGGAUAACAAUAAUCGAUCGGAUCUUAACUCGAGGUGCAUUCUUUUUACAUUGUUGUGUCAGGGAAUAUGUACCUACCGACUACGGCCGUGUACAGUUGGCCAUUCACGUUACCGUCGGAAAACCUAAUCAGUACUAGUAAUUUUGAUGGUGGUGGCAGUGAGCGAGCACCUCGCAUGGGUCAUGUGGAAUCUGGCUCACCGUCCACGUACGGCCGGAACGAGAAAAGCCAAGCAUAUGUGUCAUCAUGGUUAGUAGAACAACUACUGCGGCAGGCUAAUAAUUAGUUCGUUUGUUUGCUGGUUAGGUAGGUAACAUGCAUGUGGGUCGUAGUACGUGGAUGCGCAGCCCGGACGGCCGGCCGGUCUUCCUAGGUCAAGGUAGCAAUCAAACAAGCUAGUGCUCAGGCGCGCGUGUGGGUGGGUGAAUCAUGGCGUGCCGACCACACACACUGCAUCUGCAUUGCACAUACCCAUCCCGUAGCUUUCACAAGAAAGCCCCACCACUUCAUUCAUAUCGACUGAUCGGACCCACAUGAUAUAAGCUCGGAGAGGGAGGGAAAGUGGAACUACUACUACUCUUUUGCAACGCAGAAAACAUACAGAGCCACCAAAAAGAGCUCACUCCCGGUCUACCAUGCAUUUAACAAGCACUAGAUAGCCGAGAGCUUAUUGCAAGGGUGAGUAAUCAUGCCUUGUCAUGCAUCAAAAAAGGAGAGCAACCUAGCUAGCUAACCGGAAGAAAGCACACUUUGUUCGUCUCUACUACUAGAGGUCAAUGGCCUGCCCGCCCUUAUCUACCGUACAGCAAAAGCAGAAAGGGUAAAUAGUGAUGUGCGUGCGGAAAUGAACAUGUAAUCAUUUGUGUAACAGGCGUGUGCCGGGUCGACCCACCAACAUUCUCAUCAUUGCAUUGCACGCACCUCCGGGGCAAAAGGGAACUCACGAACUGGCUUCUACCUUUUCAACUCAACUGGACAUCACUGCUCACGCGAAGCAGCAUUAUUGAACAUAUUAUUAUGUAGGCAUACACGCAUGUAUAUGAUUAGGAUAAUCUCCUACCGGCCCCGCCUCUAAUUUCCUUGUAUGGAUGAGGCUGAGGGCUUCUCCUUGUACAUAUAUACGUGCGUUAGGCACCCGAUCAACAUCGAGAGUUGCAUUGCCUUCCAACAUGGUAUCAGUUUCCUUCCCGAUCCUUCCCUAGCUUCCGCCUAAGCCCUAACCACGCCGCCGCCGCAGCCGCAAUCCUCCCGCGUCGCCGCCGCAUCUUGCCCAGCCGCCGCGCGCGCCUCUCCCCUUCCCCUCUCCCCAUCCAAUCACCACCUCCCCUCUUCCCACCCGAUCGCCCCUGCCCCGAUCCCCCAUCCACCCGAGCUGCCACCAACGAACAGAAGCCGCCGUGCCCGACCCUCCCUCUCCAGCGAUGGCUUCUCCCCACUCCUCCGUCUCCAUCCCCUCCAAUCCCUUCGACGGUCCAGCUCCUCCUCCGAUGGAACUCAUCCACGAUCUUGACAUCUUCGCUCGUGUGCCCAUCAUCCUGGACUACGCCAACUCCACCUACUACGCCUGGAAAACCUAUUUCUGCCUUGUCUUCCGCGAGUACCACCUCAAUGAUCACGUUCAUGGCUCCAUCGACACCGACCUCAUGUUCGCGGAUGACGACUGGAUGACCAUCGACACCACCAUCACUCGUUGGUUGUACCAAACCAUCUCCAAAGACCUCUUUCACACCAUCGUGUGCAACGAGGACGACGCGCAAACGGUGUGGGCGAAGCUAAACGGGCUCUUCACCGACAACGCCCUCCAGUGCCACGUGUUUCUUCAGCAGGAAUGUUUUGGCUGCCAUCAACAUGACUCGUCCAUUGACGAUUAUUGUAUGCACCUUAAGAAACUUGUUCACGAGCUUCGCGAUCUUGGGGACAUGAUCUCCGACGAGCUCCUCCUUAGCACGCUCACCGCCGGCCUGAAUGAAGAGUUCAGCAACGCGGCCUCCAACCUCAUGUUCCUUCCGGACCCGACCUUUCCUAGGGUUGUGGCCUAUCUUUGCUUGGAGGAGAGGAGGAUGAAGAUGGUGAAGUCCCGGGCCACGCACACGGCGCUUGCCGUGGGCACUUCUCACGCAGCCCCUCCCACGGCCCCGCAGCCGCCGCGGUUCCCAACCCACCGGCGGCCUCCUACUUCCCAGCGCCUCAGCCGCCGGCCUACGGCAACCAGCAGCCGCCGCCCCUGGCAACGAUCAUCGCCGUGGUAAGAAGAAGAAGCAGCNNNNNNNNNNNNNNNNNNNNNNNNNNNNNNNNNNNNNNNNNNNNNNNNNNNNNNNNNNNNNNNNNNNNNNNNNNNNNNNNNNNNNNNNNNNNNNNNNNNNNNNNNNNNNNNNNNNNNNNNNNNNNNNNNNNNNNNNNNNNNNNNNNNNNNNNNNNNNNNNNNNNNNNNNNNNNNNNNNNNNNNNNNNNNNNNNNNNNNNNNNNNNNNNNNNNNNNNNNNNNNNNNNNNNNNNNNNNNNNNNNNNNNNNNNNNNNNNNNNNNNNNNNNNNGCCCUCGGCCCCUUGGGCGGCCGCGCCGAAUCCCUGGACAGGGGUGGUCCACGCGUACACGAUGCCCGUGCCGUGCGCCCCCGUCCCGGCUGGCAUCCUUGGCGCCCGUCCCGACGCCCCUCAGGCCAUGUACGCCACGCCGGGUGGCUAUCAGCCGCCGCCACCCCCGCUCGCGUACGCCGCGCCAGGAGGCUACCCAGGCGCCGCGCCCACCUACCCUACCGCACCCCCUACCGCGGCCGCUGCCCUUCCGACGGCUCCUUGGGACCCGGCCCUCCUCGCGGUGCUUCACUCCGCUCCUACACCCAACACCUACACCGGCGGCGGCGACUGGUAUAUGGAUACCGGGGCUACAUCUCACAUGACUUCCAACCCCGGUAAUCUCAACUCCGCAUAUCCAGUUCAUACCGCAUGUCGUAUCACCGUUGGGGAUGGAUCCUCCCUUCCCAUUACUCAUGUCGGUCAUGGUUUUUUUCCGUCUAACUCCAUGCCUAUACAUAUGUCUAAUGCCUUAGUUUCACCUUAGCUCAUUAAAAAUCUUGUUUCCGUUCGUUCCCUUACACAUGAAAAUCCUAUAACUGUUCAAUUUGACGAAGUCGGUUUUUCUGUCAAGGACGCCCGUACCCGGAUGGUACUCCACCGUUUUGACAGCUCGGUGAGCUCUACCCAGUCCACUCCACCGCCACCACCACCUCCACUCCAGUCGCCCUCUCCAUCGCCGUGGACCUUUGGCAUGCUCGGCUAGGACAUCCGAACUCCGCCACCCUUCGUCAUAUUCUUAGGACUUUCCCAUUCAUGUGUAAUAAAACCGAUGAUCAUACUUGUCAUGCUUGCCGCCUCGGCAUGCACGUUCGUCUUCCAUUUAGUGCUUCCUCAUCGGUGGUGGCGUAUCCAUUUGAGUUGAUUCAUAGUGAUUUAUGGACAUCUCCAGUUGCCAGUAAUACAGGUUUCUUAUAUUAUCUAGUUCUACUUGACGAUUUCUCGCAUUAUGUGCGGACCUUCCCGUUGUGGAGAAAAUCCGAUGCACUCUCCAUUCUCACUAUGUUUUACUCAUAUGUCGCUAUGCAGUUUGGGCGUCCCAUUCACACGUUGCAGACUGACAACGGGAAGGAGUUCGAUAACAUUGGGGUUCGCACCCUUCUUGCCACACAUGGCACGAUUCUUCGUCUUACCUGCCCGUAUACCUCUCAACAAAAUGGUCACGCCGAAUGGAUUCUCCGCACUCUAAAUGAUUGUGCGCGCACCCUUCUCUUCCAUGCUAACGUCCCGCCCCGGUUUUGGCCGGAUGCCCUAGCCAUCGCCUCUCUCCUUCUCAACAUUUUUCCGUGUCGCACUCGUGGGAACUUUGCACCACAUCAUCUUCUUUUCGGUACCGCCCCCUCCUAUGAUGAUCUUCGUGUUUUGGGGUGUCUAUGUUAUCCCAGCAUCGCCUCCACCACACCUCACAAACUCGCACCUCGCUCCGUGGCAUGCACCUUUCUCGGAUACCCACCAAACACCAAAGGAUGUCGUUGUUAUGAUCCGGUUUCCCACCGAGUUUUCACUUCACGGCAUGUUUACUUUGACAAGAGGGGUUUUCCUUUUCACCAGGUACCGCCCACGGACGAUUCGCCAUCACCACCCGCGCCCGCCGACGCUGCUCAUGCUGGCCGCCCCCGAGCGCUCGGCCCCCCCUCCCGGCUUCGAGCCCCCUGCUGCGCCCGGGUCCCCUCCUAGCUUCGGCGGCCCUGCUGCGCCCGGGUCCCCUCCCGGCUUCGGCGGCCCUGCCGCGCCCGGGUCUCCUCCCGGCUCCGGCGGGCCUGCCACGCCUGGGCCCUCGUCAGGGGCCCCCUCCUCGUCCCGUCCUGCGGGUCCCACCAGGUCCGUGGCGCCGGACCCGCCGCCUUCGCCUACCGCGCCAGGCUCCAUGGCGCCUCCGACUCCCAUUGAGUCUGCAGCCCCGUCAGUGAGCGCCCCUCAUGCGCCUGACCCCAGCUCCUCGACAGACUCGACGGUGAUCCCGACAAGCUCUUCUUCGGCCUCGCUCUCAGUUGAUCCUCCGUCGCCGCCUCCGCGGGCCUUGCCGACCCCGCCGGCCCAGCCAUCUCGCAUGGUCACCCGUGCUCACGCGGGCAUCCACCGCCCCAGCAUGCGUUACUCAGUGGACGAGUACCUCCUCGCUGCCUCGACGUCCACACCGUCACCUCUUCCAUCGUCAUCUCGAGCCGCGCUUCGCGACCCGCAUUGGCUCGCUGCGAUGCAGGAGGAGUUCGACGCGUUGAUGCGUAACCGCACCUGGCAGCUCGUCCCGCGACCCCCCCCCCAUGCCAAUGUCAUCACCGGCAAGUGGGUCUUCCGACAUAAAACCUGUCCCGACGGGUCCCUCGAGUGUUACAAAGCUCGUUGGGUGGUUCGCGGGUUUCGUCAGCGUGCUGGAGUCGACUUCACCGACACUUUUGCUCCGUUUGUCAAACCAGGCACGAUUCAUGUGGUCCUUCUGCUUGUGGUAUGUCGCGCAUGGUCGGUGCAUCAGAUGGAUGUGUCGGAUGCGUUCCUGCAUGGCCAUCUCUCGGAGCAGGUCUUUUGUCAGCAGCUCAUCCUGAUCGUGUGUGCUUGCUCUCCCGCUCCUUGUACGGGUUGAAGCAGGCACCUCGAGCCUGGUACCAGCGCAUCGCCACCUUCCUGCAGCAGCUUGGGUUUCGAGCUACUUGCUCCUCUACGUCGACGACAUCAUCCUGACGGCCUCCUCGACAGAGCUCCUCCGCCAGCUUACUGCUCGCCUCAGCGCCGAGUUCGCCAUUAUCCUCGGCUCCUUGCACUACUUCCUCGGGAUUGAGGUGGUGCGUCGUGCCGACGGGUUCUUUCUUCAUCAGCAGCAGUACGCACAAGACCUCCUUGAGCGGGCAGGCAUGCUUAACUGCAAGCCUGUCCCCACGCCUAUCGACACAAAGGCCAAGGUCUCUACGCUCGAGGGCUCGCCCGCGCCAGAUGCGGCGUUUUAUCGCUCCAUCGUCGGCGCCCUUCAGUACUUGCUCACUCGGCCGGACCUGCAGUAUGCUCUUCAGCAGGUGUGUCUCCACAUGCACGCUCCUCGCGACACUCACUGGAACCUGGUGAAGCGGAUUCUUCAGUACAUCCGCGGCACCACGGCUCUGGGUCUCACAUUGACGGCCUCGUCCUCGACCGACCUUGUUGCCCACAGUGACGCCGAUUGGGGGGCUGGCUGUCCGGACACACGACGCUCCACUUCCGGCUACUGUGUCUACCUGGGUCCUUCGCUCAUAUCGUGGUCGUCUAAAUGACAACUCACAGUAUCCCGCUCCAGCGCCGAGGCUGAGUAUCGUGUUGUGGCUAAUGUCGUCGCCAAGUGCUCGUGGAUCAUGCAGCUUCUCUAGGAGUUGCUCCUUGACGUUUCGACGACCACCACUGUCUACUGUGACAAUGUCUCAGCGGUCCACCUCUCCGCCAACCCCGUUCAUCAUCGUCGCACGAAGCACAUUGAGCUCGACAUUCACUUCGUGCGUGAGCGGGUGGCUCUUGGACGCGUCCGUGUUCUCCAUGUUCCCACAACUCAGUAGUUUGCCGAUGUCAUGACUAAGGGGUUACCGACGCCUACAUUCGAGGAAUUCCAGUCCAGUCUAUGUGUCACUAGCGAUCGUAUCGACUGCGGGGGGUGUUGAACAUAUUAUGCAGGCCUACACUCAUGUAUAUGGUUAGGAUAAUCUCCUACCGGCCCCAUCUCUAGUUUCCUUGUAUAGAUGAGGCUGGGGGCCUACUUAAAAUUUACUACAUACAAUGGUUUAAAUUAGAACAACUUUACAAAGGAAUUAACCUAAACUAAACACAUGGUACGUGAUUCUCCCUCCAACCAUCCGGGGUUUGUAAGGCUGGCGCGGAUAUUUAAGUCUUUAGCAACUAAAUAUGUGUAACAAGCCACCAAGAGUAGAUGUUUAGAAACUUUGUUCGACGACGAAUCCUCCGAUGACAUAUUUUCCACGUUUCACUGGUCAAACUGAAGACCCCGCUCUCACUUUACAAACCCGGAUAGAGGUAGUAUACUUGGGACCUAGACUCUCACUAGUAGAAAAGGGGGCAAUGGUCCAGGCCGGGCCAGCCCAUUAGUCCCGGUUCAAUCCAGAACCGGGACCAAUGGGGGCAUUGGACCCGGUUCGUGAGCCACAGGGGCCGGCUGGGCCACGUGGGCCAUUGGUCCCGGUUCGACUGGACCUAUUGGUCCCGGUUGGUGGGACGAACCGGGACCAAAGGCUGCCCUUUAGUCCCGGUUCUGGCCACGAACCGGGACCAAUUAGUUGCCUAUAUAUACCCCUCGCCCGCGAGCAGAGCACUCCCACUGCUCUGUUUUUCGUGGCCGGCGAGGGGAGAGCUUUGUGGUGCUCUACCUCACCUCCUAUGCACACGAGGUGUUCGAUGGAAUGCCCGAGCCACACUACUUAAGCUUUCUUCUCUCCAAGCUCGACCUCCAAGCUCCAUUUUCCUCAAUAUUUUUCUAGGUUUAGCGGUCCGUCACGUCCCGUCCCCGUCUUCACCGUCAUCGAUCGCCCGCGCCGAUCUCGUCGCCGGCACCACCGUGGUGAGCCUCUUGUUCUUAUCUUCUUUCUGAAAGAAAAAAAAUUCUUACUUGUAUGUUUAUAUAGAUACUUGUAUAAUUUUCUAACUUUUAUUAUUGCAUCUUAUAUAGUGCGAUGGUUUUGGUAUCCGCCCCCGUCGGCCCUCGUCCUGUCUAUAUUCGGAUGUGGUAUAUAUUAUCUUUUCAUAACUAUUGGUUCAUUUAUUGUUUAUGACAAUUAUGCCGACCAACGUGACAUAAAUUUUAUUUAUCUAGGAGGUUGUUGAACCGGAAAUUCCAACCGACCCUAUUGUCGAGAGGUUAAAUUUAGUUGAAGAAGAAAACAAUUUGUUGAAGGAAAAAAUUAGAAAAAUUGAGGAGGAGGAGAUGAUAUUGGAGUUGCAUGUUGCGGAUGUCGUCGAUGAUCACAAGAUCAAGAUGGAUGCAAUGCGCUUGAAGAUUAGAAAGAUUAGAAAAUAUGUCAUUCAUACCGAGGCUUGGUAUCAUUAUGCCAUUGGAUCAGUUGUUACAUUGGUUGCGAUUAUGAUCGCAUUUGUUUUCGCAUUGAAAUGUUUUACAUAGUUUCAGUGUAUGGUUUAAUUAAUUUAGAUGCUCUGCAGAGCUUUAUGUUGUUAGAUGAGAACUAUGUAUGUACUUUGGUUUUAAUGUGGUGAUGAACUUCUAUUAAUUUGGUCGCUUAAUUAUCUAUUCAUGAUGUUCUGUAAUGAUUUUUGACACACUUAAUUAUAUAUAAUGCACGUAGAUGAACCGGCAAUGGAUGUACGGUUCAAGACACACCUCCGAGUACAUUAAGGGCGUGCAUGAUUUUCUCGAAGUGGCUGAGGCAAACAAGCAGAAUGGUUUUAUGUGUUGUCCAUGCCCUAUAUGUGGGAAUACGAAGUCUUACUCUGACCGGAAAAUCCUCCACACCCACCUGCUUUACAAGGGUUUCAUGCCACACUAUAAUGUUUGGACGAGGCACGGAGAACUAGGGGUUAUGAUGGAAGACGGCGAAGAAGAAGAGUACGAUGACAACUAUGUGCCCCCUGAAUACGGUGAUGCUACUGAACAUCAAGAGGAACCAGACGAUGUGCACGAUGAUGCUGCAACGGGCGAAGCUGUUGAAGAUCAAGAGGAACCAGACGAUGUGCCACCUCUCAAACCAGACGGGCGAAGCUGCUGAAGAUCAAGAUCAAGAGGAACCAGCUGCGGGAGGCAAUACAGAUACGGUCCACCUCUCAAGCCUCUAGAGAAGUUACCGUACGAGAGGACCGAGGAGGAAAACGAUACGAUCGUGCGGACCCACGUAAAGGAGUUCUUUGAAGGGGUGAAAGCAAAGAGACAUCCACCUUCGGAGGAGAAGGUAGAUCCGGUGAAAGCAAAGCACACUCUCGAUGCCCUGAGGAAACCGGCAAAGUCUCCGCCGAGAACCAACUAUGAGCGCAUUACUGAAUAGACAUAUCUCCAAGCGGAGCGGUCGGGAAAUACUGUCAGACAUCAAAGAGCAAGAGAACGAGCAGCUACGAAAAAAAUUGACCAGCUCGGCGAACAAGCAAACCAAUCAUGCCCCCCGCUCAAUGUGUCUAGCGGCAAUUACAUCGCCGCUAAUGCUCUGGGGAUGGUGGCCGGUUAUGGCAAUCCACAAGAUUACCUGCCUGACGAUGCACUUCCUGAUUUCAUGAAGGUGGACGAACACAGAUACGAGUACGGGAAGCCUCUCGUCAAAGAUGAAAAAUCUCUAACAACGAUGAUGCGAAGAUUCCAUACUUGGUACAUGAAAACCUGCAGAGAGUCUGGGGGGGGGGCGAAUACUUUGUAUCUGAGAAUUAAAGAGGAGCACGACCUCGUUGGAAAUGAUCUGUUGCCUGUUCCAUUUGAGGAGUUCUUCGAGUUCUUCAAUCAAAAGGCCCUCGAUAAAUUAACGGUCUUUUGCUACUACCUGUAAGUACUAUUUUUGUCAUUAAGUCUCUAUAUAUAGCUCGACUCUUUCAUUGCAUGUAUUUAUAAUUAAUUAUCCUCAAUAUAUUAUGCAGAUUGAAGAUCGUCGAGUGCAAAAAAUAAGAAAUUUAUGAUAUUGGGUUCAUUAACACAAAUAUCAUAGAUGAAUUUCUGGUUGAAAAGGACGUCAAAGAGGCCGAGGACAACUUGCUACAAUCGUUGAUCAAAAAUCAAAACAAAGAUACCAUACUCUUUCCUUACAACGGCAAGUGAGUGUUACUGUCGUGUGCAUAUUCGGUUUUCCUUAUUACUCGAGCGAGGUUAUAGUAAUGUAAUUGAUGAGUUAUGCAUGCGUGCGCAGGUACCACUAUAUUCUUCUGCAGAUUAAGCUUGAGCGUGGACUAGUAACCGUCUUAGACUCGAGACAGAAAGCUCCCAAACCUAUGCGGACAUGACUGAAAUGCUCAGCAAGUAAGUUCAAUCGAUCAUUAUCGCACCAUAUCGGCAACUUUUUGUUCAUUUCCUGAUAUCUCAAGUAAUAAUAAUUAUUUUCUUUGUCUUGCAAGGUUUGGAAACAGUUCAUCGCAGAAGCUCCGAGACUGCCGAAGGAGCUGCGAUAUGCAUACCCGAAAGUAAGUACUAUUGGCUAGCUAGUUGCGCGCAUCUCCCGUUGAUUCUAUAGCUAUACUUUCAUCAAUGCCAUUUAUAAUGCUUCAUUAUCAGUUUGAUUGACCUCUAUUUCUCGUAAAGUGCUUGUGGCAGGAACAAGGGAAUGAUUUCUGUGGAUACUACGUGUGCGAGUUCAUCCACACCGCGACUUUGAAAAACAAGCGGGGCUAUUCUCAAAGACAAUAUGAAGUGCGUAAGCAAUAAUAUUCACAAUUUCAUUUUAUUACACCAUCAUUUCUGUUGAGUUUCAUUCAUAUAUAUGUAUUAAUUAACCCCCUUCUUCAAAUUAGACGUGGCAGAUGCGGAAUGAACUCCUAGAACCAGAUCGCAUGAAAGCAAUUCAAGAGGAAUUGGCGGGAUUCUUUCUUGACCACGUCAUCAAUAAAGCCGGAGAAUACCAAUGUGAAAGUUGAUUUCAAAUGCUAGGGGACUGUAAUUGAGAGAUCGUACAUAUUGUACAUGUAUGUAGCCAGUAGCGUCGGAUGUACAUGAUACGAAAACUUGUUGUUCAACCAAUCUCUCGAAGAAGGAGAGGUCGAUCGAUCAUUUCUCUCGGUAUGCAUGACGAACUUCUGUACUCAAUGGUUCCCUUCAUUUUCUUACUAGCUAGCGUGUCGAGGGCUAUAUGUAUAUAGUACGUAGCGUCGACCAAGCACGGACAUAAGAGAGAACACUUCUCUCUAUUAAUUAGCUAGUUAACACAAUAUAUGAAACNNNNNNNNNNNNNNNNNNNNNNNNNNNNNNNNNNNNNNNNNNNNNNNNNNNNNNNNNNNNNNNNNNNNNNNNNNNNNNNNNNNNNNNNNNNNNNNNNNNNNNNNNNNNNNNNNNNNNNNNNNNNNNNNNNNNNNNNNNNNNNNNNNNNNNNNNNNNNNNNNNNNNNNNNNNNNNNNNNNNNNNNNNNNNNNNNNNNNNNNNNNNNNNNNNNNNNNNNNNNNNNNNNNNNNNNNNNNNNNNNNNNNNNNNNNNNNNNNNNNUCAAAAAAAAAAACAAAAACCCCAACCACUGGAAUGUUGACGCGUGGAUGCCAUUUGGUCCCGGUUGGUGCCACCAACCGGGACCAAAGGCCCCCCUGCCAGGGCUCGGCACACCGGCCACGUGGAGGACCAUCUGUCCCGGUUCGUGUUUGAACCGGGACUAAAGGGGGAGGUAUUAGUAAUGACCCAUUAGUCCCGGUUCAUGAACCGGGACUAAAGGCCCUUACGAACCGGGACAAAUGCCCUCUUUUCUACUAGUGUCUGUGUCUCCAUCUCUAGAUUUAUACACUACUCAGGUAGUUUUUUGUACGAAGCAUGCAUGCAUCUAACUAAAGGGAAUGACUCAUUUGAAUAACGAUCGCCUCCAGGCCAGAUUAGAUAGGACCAACAGCUAGCAGAUGAGGAUUAAGAGCCUUGACCUAAAAAGUGAAAUGAAGAUCGAAAAGAAGACCAAACUAAAUACUACUAGCUACUCCUACUCCAGGUCCCAUAUAAUUGAUGUGCACCCAUCGAACUCAAAGUCAAGUGGCUAUGCAGAUUCCAUGUGCAGUAACUAGCUGCUGGCAGGGGCAGGUGAAAAUGCCGUACAGGCACAUCCAGAUGGAACCAGACGAAUCGGCGGUUGGUUAGAGUUAGUACGCUAGCAGCAUUGUACUAUUUUCUUCUUUAGCUGUGGCGCUCCACUAGCUCUAGCUCUAUUGGCUUACAAUAUCAUAACUAUUCACUGAUUUAUACGUACUUUGUCUUCUUGGGAAUCUGCGUUAUGUAUGGGCAAUUUGAUUAUUGUGAUCAGUGUACAGAUGCAUGGUGCAUGAUGUGGAGUAGAUAGAUAAGCAAGUGUGAUUGUUGCAUACUUAAUACGACAAUAUAUGUCCCUUGUACCUAGCCUUAUAGAGUUUUGCCAGAACUGGUGGAUUAGAUGAAUGUAUGCGGUGUUUAGUUGUUGUAUAAAAACGUGUGAGAUGAUUGAGCAAUGCAUAUGCAGACGUGGGCGAUUUUCUAUUUUACUGGUAUGAGUCACAUCCCUUUUCCGACUUUCUUUUUUCAGAUCACGAUGAAAAUAGUGCUUUUGAGGGUGCUCAUUUUAACAAGCCCUCUGAUUGAGCCAUAGAAAAACAGUAGACAAGGAGACCAUGCACCGCCAAAAAAAGGUAAAGACCGGUAGUGCAUCUUUUUUCUUUUCAUUUUGCCAAAACCAGUGGUGUAUACUUAAUGUGGUGUCCCCUGGUGUUGCUGGUAUGCCAAAUGCUCUAGCAGCUGGUAGUUUUCAUCAAACUGUAGAUGUCCACGGAUGCGUUUAUGACUCUUUGGUAUCCCAUAUGUCAGGUAGUAGGUAUAUAUGUGAUUGUGUUACCAGCUCUUGCCACGGUACAUUGGAUUCUGAUGUAUGAAAGCAGAGAGCAUGAAAAAUCACUAAAUUGUAUUCCUAUAAAAACUAGUGCAAGCUUGAUGAACUGUAAUGUGUUUAUAGAUUUAACUGGAGUCCCAAGAACAUAACAAGUUGUAUGAACUUCAAACACAUGUUUGAUAUGCAUGUACAAAAAGUACUCCGAGGGUGAUUAGCAAGCUCCAAGAUGUCCAGGAAGAUUCAAGGAAAUUCCAAAACGUUUCAUAAUUGUUUCAGCAAGCCUCGGCAUGCCGCAUGACAAGAGUAAAAGUAAGUAUGUCACACGUGUAUCCGAUUGCCAUGGAAAUCAAAUAUAAGAGAGGAGUAUAUUACUACAUAUAGUGAGAGUGGGAUAUAACCACAUUCGUAACGAAAGGGCCUAAUUUAUUGCCAAAUUGAAGUGUGACUAAGGUUUGUUCUAAGCUGCGGAAUAACCGCAUCGUUCUGUAUACUCGUAAUACACUAUGUAUAUAUUUCCUUUUUCUCCAAAUUUACAUUUUUUUUUGCUUUUAUCUUCCUUUUUACGCAAUGAAACUUCGCAUAGCAGAUACGCAGCCACGGUGUCAAAUAUUCACACAGCGCAUUGCUUAAAAUGCUGGUUUCAGAACCACAAAGCUCCUUAAUCGAGCCAACUACACUUCACAAAAAGAAAAAGGAAAGCAUGGAAAUAAAUUUUAACCAUGUCUUGGAAGCUAAGGGCCUUCUCUGAUAUUCAACAAAGCAGUGAUCAACUUGGCUACCAGUAUAAGCUACUGUUAUGAUAACGAUGAUCAGCAAGGCGUCUAUGCUAAUGUAUCUGAUUAAAUACUUGCCCUUUUUCAUAACACAGGUCAAAAGUCUUCUAUGCUUAACUGAGUAUGUUUAACAUCAAGAAAAGUAGAUUUCACCUACUAAAACUGUCAAGUAACAUCAUAGGGAAGCCAAAUACAAUAAUGAGAAAAAACAGAGUACUUUGAAAGAGCUUUCCUUAAUAAUGUUCUCUUUCUACAAAAGCUUGCUUAAGCAGACUGCGGUUGGUAAAAGGAAGAUCAGACAAUACCUUAAGGCACUCUCUAAUCAAUCAUCCGUUGCGAAGUCCUUUAUUCAGGGAACAAGUUGUAAGAAAUCAUUGGCCAAUUACAUUGGAAAAUCUGUGUUGGUUAACUUCUAAGAAACAUGUGGGACCUGUUCAAGAUUUGCCUUUUACUUCUACAGUAAGCAUGAUUGGCGUGGAGUUAAGAGUUGAUUGUAGGAGGAGAAUGGGGGGAAAGCGAAUAGGAAACAAUUAUGACUCAGGAUCCUCCUAACAGCAGAAAGUCAAAUGAGCAGGCACUCUUAUGUCGCUUUAGUUUCAUCCCGGGGCUUUUAGCAGUAGGGAUACAUGCCAAGGGGAGGAGUCCCAUGUUCAACAUCGACACAAUGUAAAAUGCUGCUAGAUAUGAACUUGAAAACUCCUAGCUCAUAUGAAUUUUCUUUAUGCUCAUUCUGUCUGUGUUAGUUUAGCUAGGAUAUUAAUUUGCAAAAAAAAAAGAAUAUAUGACAGUGCUAGGUCACAAAUUGGUCUCCACAUUUGUGUACUUUUCUUUCUAAACCAGAAAACGGUUACCAUGCACACACGUAGCAUAAGCAUACCUGCAAGUCAUAUGCAAAGUCCCUGAAACUCUGACUCUCUGGCAGUAACAACCACGCUGUUGUUUUCUUCAAGAAACGGCCACUGCUAUGUGCUGUGAAGAGAAACAAGGCUGCUGGGCCCAGUGACAAAACUUAGGAACAGUUGAAAGUACUUCCAGGAACCUGCUCCCGGCAUCAAUCAAUGUAGGCCAUGCAAGUACCUAACCCAGAUUCAUCACGCAUCCUGUGCCUCCAAAGUUGGUACAAUAUCGCACAUCUCCUUUGACCUGAUCGGCAUCCAUGCACGUGUGUUAGCUAGGGAAAUAAGCCCCAGGCUGUACAGAAGGCAACAUGUCACACACGUUCUCUGGCCUUGGCCAUUGGAUGAACCAUCGAAAAGUUUCAGUGAGGUGGGAAAAGUCACCUAAUUCAGCAUGAUUCUACGAUAAGACACAGCAAUAAUGUCCUAAUGAUCUUAGACAUUACCCUUCAUCUAGAAAACCUGUAUUUCUUUUAAGGCACCACGCUGCUGUAGCGGCAUACUUUUAUCCCCAAAGGCGUGGGAUACGAAUCCCUGUUCCCAUGAUGACCAAUAUAAAACCCCUCCCUGCAUACAGUGUUAGCGCUGAUCAAUACCUUCUUACCUGUAACGAUACUUAUGUAUAACAAAAGUACCAGUAUUAAUUAGGAAGCAAACCUCUCGCUUUUGGUUACGCCAUUUUGUGUACUUUAGCAGCUUGGUUUCACAUAUGAUAUACGAUGUAUUGCCAUGUGUAUAGAGAGGCUCCUAGAGACUAGUGGUUUGUUAGGGGUGGGCCCACCGUGAUACAAAAGGUUAAAUUAAGGGAGACAUCGGACCGAUGACUGAUCUAUUGUAAGAUUGUACAUGCCUUGGUAAGGUAAUUCAAAUCAGUCAUUGUGACAUUCCGAUUCAAUCACUGUAACAUUCCAACUCGCGAAGGGUGAAACUAAAAAAAAGGCAGCCUGGUGCACAUAGCUCCCGUUUGCGCAGGGUCCGGGGAAGGGUCCGAUCACUUUGGGUCUUUUGUACGCAGCCUUUCCCUACAUUUCUGCAAGAGGUUGUUUUCAGGACUCGAACCCGUGACCUCAUGGUCACAAGGCAACAGCUUUACUGCUGCUCCAAGGCAUGGUCACGAAGGGUGAAAUUACAUUAUUAGUUCACAAAGCUAUUGUGUAUGGAUAUGUUUGUCUAAGACAUUCUGUACUCGCACCUUUGUAGAAUUUUCAUAGGAAUGGUUGUUCUUCAAGUGGUGAUGGCACUAACGAUGUUUCAUCAGUGUUACAGUGUGCAUUUGUAUUUAACUUAUCGAUAAAAUAUUUACUGAGUUUAAACUUUUCUAAGAAUCUCCAUGUACACUUGUCUACCAAAUCACCAAAGCUUAAAGUUUGAGUAACUAAAACACUAGAAAUGAAGACCGAAACAAGACAUAGGACAUAGCACGCUUUGGAAGAAAAUUAGAUGAUUUGAACCUUUGGAGUUACUUGAUAGAAGAGUUAUUGUUGAAGCAGUUGAACACAAUGCCGGGUAGCUCCCUUAUUUUAUAUGCAUCGUCUAACAACCCAGCUGCCCUGCAGCAUCUCACCGUUCUCUCCCAGAAACCACCCUUCUUUCUCUUCCCUACAUGCACCCCAUCCUCCUACUAUAUAAACCACCCCAUUCUGCACCUCAUAACCCACAAGAAGAGAAGUAGAAACAAACAAAUAACAAGUCUCUUCUAUUACUUGUACAAAGUGCAGCUAAGGACACUUACAUGGCGACUUCCAUGAGUUGCCUGUUGGUGCUAUGCCUUGUCUGUCCCCUCCUUGCUGGUGUCGUACGUGCCAACCCAUGGUACGGCUUGUUCCCACAGUUCUACGACCACUCUUGCCCGAAG
Molecule: long non-coding RNA, 35784 nt
Filed under: Triticum aestivum (bread wheat)
Lineage: Eukaryota; Viridiplantae; Streptophyta; Magnoliopsida; Poales; Poaceae
Description: long non-coding RNA (TAES_LNC027168)
Rfam family: MIR1120/MIR1122 microRNA precursor family (bases 17378-17502)
Source: RNAcentral